This 408-nucleotide ribosomal RNA is filed under the name bacterium enrichment culture clone ALO1_GLFRUDD03GXQRD. RNAcentral's name for it is "bacterial SSU rRNA". It matches the Rfam family "Bacterial small subunit ribosomal RNA", at positions 9 to 417 of the family's 1533-position model. The record is from RNAcentral.
GAGUUUGAUCGUGGCUCAGAUUGAACGCUGGCGGCAUGCCUUACACAUGCAAGUCGAACGGCAGCACGGGAGCUUGCUCCUGGUGGCGAGUGGCGAACGGGUGAGUAAUGCAUCGGAACGUAUCCUGGAGUGGGGGAUAACGUAGCGAAAGUUACGCUAAUACCGCAUAUUCUGUGAGCAGGAAAGCGGGGGACCUUCGGGCCUCGCGCUCUUGGAGCGGCCGAUGUCGGAUUAGCUAGUUGGUGAGGUAAAGGCUCACCAAGGCGACGAUCCGUAGCAGGUCUGAGAGGAUGAUCUGCCACACUGGAACUGAGACACGGUCCAGACUCCUACGGGAGGCAGCAGUGGGGAAUUUUGGACAAUGGGGGCAACCCUGAUCCAGCCAUGCCGCGUGAGUGAAGAAGGACC